GGAGGACAGAUGUGUGACCUCGGUGCAGUGGAGCGCUUGGACCUGGCUUAUCUGUCUCACUAAGUGGGAUCCUCAAAGGCAGGGCAUCUGCCCACCUCAAUAACCACAGGGCCUCAGCCGAUGAAGCAGUGUACCCCUGUCCUCCUGCUCUGGUGCCCUGCCCUCCCCCACAGCCAUGGCUCUCAGCCUGGCUAGAGGUGUGAGGUGGGCACCUUCCCCAUACUAUGUUAUGCUCCAGUGAAACUUCAAAAAAAAGGCUGUGUGUGGUUAGUUGCAUAACGGCUCCCAGGAUGUCCACAUCCUAACCCCCAGGCAAGGAGGAACCAAGGGAUGGAGAAACCAGCCUCUGCCAACUCUAUGUACCUGGCCUUGUGCCAGGGAAUGCAGGUGGCCUCUAGGGGCUGGAAAAGGCAAAAAAGAAUUCCUCCCAGCAGCCCCAAGAACACGCCCCGUGCGCUCCAUCAGGGCCAGCGAGAGCUGUGUGAGAAUCUGCUCUGCUUUCAGCCACCAAGUUCAUGGUGAUUUGUUACAGCAGCAACAGGAAGCUACGCUGGGCGAGAGCUGGCUGCUCUGAGGCUGGAGGACCCUUCUGUGACCCUCCCACACUGGCCAAGCCUCUCAGAACUUGGUGACAAGCCACUCUUCAGAUAGGGCCUGGACACACCCACCUCCUGCACACAGCUCGCUGAACCCAGAAGCAGAGCAAAAGGACAAAGAGCAGAAUGACCCAGGCAGUGCUGGGCCCUUGACCAGUCAAUAAAGG
Molecule: long non-coding RNA, 763 nt
Filed under: Marmota monax (woodchuck)
Lineage: Eukaryota; Metazoa; Chordata; Mammalia; Rodentia; Sciuridae
Source: RNAcentral